UGAGGAAUAUUGGUCAAUGGACGAGAGUAUGAACCAGCCAUGCCGCGUGAAGGAUGAAGGCGUUCUGCGUUGUAAACUUCUUUUGCGGGGGAAGAAACCUUGAUAUUCUUAUCAAGCCGACGGUACCCCGAGAAUAAGCACCGGCUAACUCCGUGCCAGCAGCCGCGGUAAUACGGAGGGUGCAAGCGUUAUCCGGAUUUACUGGGUUUAAAGGGUGCGUAGGUGGAUUUGUAAGUCAGUGGUGAAAUCUCCGAGCUUAACUCGGAAACUGCCAUUGAUACUAGAAGUCUUGAAUUAUCUGGAGGUAAGCGGAAUAUGUCAUGUAGCGGUGAAAUGCUGAGAUAUGACAUAGAACACCAAUUGCGAAGGUAGGUUACCAUGUCUUAACGGACGCUGAUGGACGAAAGCGUGGGGAGCGAACA
This 422-nucleotide ribosomal RNA is filed under the name uncultured bacterium. RNAcentral describes it as "bacterial SSU rRNA". It matches the Rfam family "Bacterial small subunit ribosomal RNA", at positions 355 to 774 of the family's 1533-position model. The record is from RNAcentral.